RNAcentral lists this ribosomal RNA (254 nucleotides) under uncultured bacterium. RNAcentral describes it as "partial 16S ribosomal RNA". It matches the Rfam family "Bacterial small subunit ribosomal RNA", at positions 524 to 776 of the family's 1533-position model. The record is from RNAcentral.
UACAGAGGUCUCAAGCGUUGUUCGGAUUCAUUGGGCGUAAAGGGUGCGUAGGCGGCGCGGUAAGUCGGGUGUGAAAUCUCGGAGCUUAACUCCGGAACUGCAUUCGAUACUGCCGUGCUUGAGGACUGGAGAGGAGACUGGAAUUUACGGUGUAGCGGUGAAAUGCGCAGAUAUCAGGAGGAACACCGGUGGCGAAGGCGGGUCUCUGGGCCGAUACUGACGCUGGAGGAGCGAAAGCGUGGGGAGCGAACAGG